CAUGGGAUAUCAGCUGUAUCAUGAUGGAGCCUCAACUACCUCCUUAAAGACUUAAUUGAGAUAAUUAUACAAACGAAUGUGGUAACAAAAUUCGCCCUCGAAUGUGGAAAAGAUACGAUGGAUGACCUUUCGCUGACAACUUAUUUCAAUGAAAAAGAAAAAGAAAAAGAAAAACACAACUGGGGGCAUGGAAGAAUUUAAUUAACAGUCGUCGCAGAGGAGGGUUUGAGCGUGAUGCUGCUGCUGCGGGGGAAUACUGAGAUUAAGGGCCUACAUGGGGAGUUGGCUUACAUUAGGGCCUGAUUCCUCAAGUGGGCGGAGUCCAUCACUAUUAUAAAAAAGAAAUGUUUUUUAUUUUUAUUUUUUUAAAGAUUUUAUGAGGCAUUGGUUUAAUGGUUAACUUGAGGUUUUGAGAUGUUUGAGGCGUCAAGUUUGAGUCUCGCUAAGUAUAAAAUGAGUGAGUUUUUUUAGUUAAUUAUUCAGUUUUGAGUCUUAAUUUUUAUACUUAAUUUAAAAUCUUAAAUUUUGUAAUCUCAUUAAUUAGCUUAAAUACUUUAUUUUGAUUAAAAUAUUAUUUUUUAGGAAAUUGGUACAAAUUU
This 599-nucleotide long non-coding RNA is filed under the name Gossypium raimondii (Peruvian cotton). RNAcentral describes it as "long non-coding RNA (GRAI_LNC001865)". Lineage: Eukaryota; Viridiplantae; Streptophyta; Magnoliopsida; Malvales; Malvaceae. The record is from RNAcentral.